This is a small nucleolar RNA of Humulus lupulus (European hop), 74 nucleotides long. RefSeq annotates it as small nucleolar RNA R66. The record is from RefSeq and is a predicted model, not a curated record. The transcript has a single exon. NCBI's taxonomy places the organism in Eukaryota, Viridiplantae, Streptophyta, Magnoliopsida, Rosales, Cannabaceae.
UCCUAUGAUGGCAUGAAAUCUUUGAGACCUGAAUCUCUUAAUUGAUGAAAUCUGUAAGCAUAAUCGCUGAGGAU